UUUGAGUAUUUGACCCGUGAGUGACCUGCCA
RNAcentral lists this non-coding RNA (31 nucleotides) under Macaca fascicularis (crab-eating macaque). RNAcentral also lists the same sequence under 1 other name. Lineage: Eukaryota; Metazoa; Chordata; Mammalia; Primates; Cercopithecidae. The record is from RNAcentral.